Dermacentor albipictus is the source of this 618-nucleotide long non-coding RNA. RefSeq lists it as uncharacterized. NCBI's taxonomy places the organism in Eukaryota, Metazoa, Arthropoda, Arachnida, Ixodida, Ixodidae. The record is from RefSeq and is a predicted model, not a curated record.
AACACGUGGCGUGCGCAAGUAGGAAAAGAAGAAGACGUUGUUCUGAAGAACGUUUGAUCACGGCUAAAGUACAGAGUACGUUCACGGCAGCGUUCUUCGGGCUUAGGCAGCGGGCAUGGAAGUUGGAAUGGAAGCCGCUACCUCCUGGCGGUCUUGGGGCGCAGGUUGGGGCGGCAUGGGAUCUACCCGCAAGGAGAGCCUUCACAACGGCGGCGCCUUGGCAGCCGGAGCGGAUUGCUGCGGUGAGGCAGCCCUGCAAAAGGCGGAGCUCAGAUCCAUCUACGGGGGCGGCCACCCUUGGCGACGUCGUGGGUCAGCGAGAAGCACCACCGGCCGAACCUACGUCACGUGCAACCAAGAAGGGCAUAUGAGCCGGGAGUGUCCCACCGCUGCCUCGGGACGAGGCUGCUUCAAGUGUGGCGAAGAAGGCCACAUGAGCAGAAGUUGAUCUGCAGACAUUUGGGCGAGACACACCCAGAUGUGGGCCGCUGCCCUUCGUGUGUGGCCAAAUUAUGCGUUUUGCGGGUACUUCCUUCUUUAGUAGCUUGUUUAAUUUUAGGAAAUUGUGAAAUUUUUACUUUUUUGAUGAUAAUAGUAAAUAUAUUCUUAUACCUUCUA